UGAUCAUUUCAUUCUUUACCUUUCAUGAUGAUUGUCGAUUAGAGCACUAUGAAUUGUUGCCGACACUCGAUCGACCGACAGCAGAAACUUAAUUCCUUUCCUCUCUAUUUCUCUCUCGUUUCCUCUCGUCACAGUCGAAGAAACAAAACAGAGCUUUGUUCAUCGUGCUGCACCGUCCACCACAGACCACCAAACAACCUCAGACCACCUUCCACGGCUUCGCCUCGACCUUGCGCAGCUACCGGAGGUAACCUUGCGCGGCGGCACGACCGGCAGCGACGGCGGCGACCCCGAGUCCGGUUUAGCUCGUUUUCGUUCCAAACUCGAUAUCUCGAGCUACAGAGCACCAUUUCACUUGAUUCUUGGCUCAUUGAGCUCGCCUCAUCUUCCUAUACAAGCACCAAGAAGGAUCGGAACUGGAUUGAACGUUUUCACGUUCGUCGGAGCUCGACCCGUGCGGAUCGAACAACCAACCUUCGGAUCAAGAUAUCUCGAGCUAUACACGAUCGUUUCUUGUGAUUCUUGGCUUGUUGAGUUCAUAAGGAAGUUCUGAACAAUUCUCUAGAAGGAAUCGAAGCCUGAAAUUGAAGUUUUGACGUCGAAAUCAAGCCUUGCCGGAUUCUGCAAAAUUCUGGAAUUUUUCCGACCACCGAAGCUUUCGAUCGGUAUAUCUCGAGCUACAGACCAUAUUUUUCUGUGAUUCUUGAACCAGUGAGUUCUUCUUGAGUUUCUUAACAACUCUUCAGAAGGAAUCGAAGCCUUAAAUUGACGUUUUUACGUUGAAUUGGAGCUCGCCGUUUUCUGCAGUUUCUCGCCGGUUUCUGGAAAAUUCCGGCCACCUUCAUACUGUUCAAGGUGGUUGAUGGAUUGAUUGGUGAACGAUUUCGGAUCGUUGUUUUGAGCUGUUAAGAAGACGCAGCGGGAAUUUAGAGCGGGUAAUCCUACAGGACAGGAGAACCAGGACGGUGAUCGUGCGGUUAGAGCAAUGGUUAUAGUUUUACAGCAAUUGUAAUAGUGAGGCGAGUUAAGCGCAUUUGAGCAUUACAAUUUGAUUUGGUGGGAGUGUGCUGUAAUAAAUAACUUGAGGAUUUGGGUUAUUGUAAAUUUGAGAGUUGUGAAGUGUGGUUGUUUGUGAGAAAAAAAUUCAGGAUGUUAGUUGUAAUUUGUUAUUAUUCAUGUUUCGGAUUUGAAUUGAUUAUUCAAAAUUCGGGGCGUGACAGUUUGGUAUCAGAGCGUAAGGUGCAUAUUUGGUGAUGUGUCAAUACCUUCCGAGUGAUGGCCCGUCUGCAGCGGAUCCCCAUCGUGUGCUCUUCGGUAUUGGCUAAGUCAUUGGGUAUGCGUGAGUGUUGGGAGUUGUUUAGACCGCUAGGUCGUUUUAGGAACGUGAAUACCUUCCCUAUAGUAUUGACUUGGUUAAUAUGAAUUUGUAUUUGACUUAUACUGUGUUUUAAGUGUUAUACAUGUAUUAGCCAAGCAUACUAUACUCCUUAGGUGAUGGAUAUUCGAAGGGGUUGUACUUAGAACCUUACAGUUGUCUUGUAGGUUCGUAUGGGAAUAAGUUCAGUGGCCGCGAGUUACAAUCCUUGAGGAAUAGGAACCUCUUGAUUCAACUCUGUUAAGUCAACGAGGAUUGUUUUAUGGAAGUGAGGUUCUUUUGGAUGUUGAAGUGUUUGGUUGAAGGCAUGAUGUGGACCUAUGCACAUACCUAGUGUGGAUACGAGUAUUAAUGGAUAGAAAGUUUGCCUUCUUAAGUUGGACGUACAUAUGUUUUUGGAUGAGAUAUACAUGUCAAAUAAUAGAUAUCUUGUUUUGUAACGAGAUGUCUUAGUGGGGUUUUAGUAAUUGGCAUGGGUGAUGUGUUUAAAGUGGCUUUGAGAUAACUAUGCUAAUCUUGUGUGAGAUUGAGUUAUUAGUAUAGAUUGAGAAGGUUUUGUAGUGACGCUAUAUACACAACGUGAUGAACUUUUAGAAGGAAAAGUUAUGAGUAAAGGUAUGGGUUUUUCCCUGAUGUCUAUAGUAGACUUGUGCAUAUGGCAGCGUUUGUGGCAGUGCCAGUAAUGAUUUUGUAGCAGCUUUCGUAGCAAUGCUUAUGUGAUAGGCAGCUUGUGUAGUAGUGCUUGUGUGGCAGUGCUGGUAGUGCUUUAGUGGUAGUUUGUGUGACAAGGAAUUUUAUGGGGGCUAGAUAAAGCUAGGCUUUAUCUUGAUUGUAUUCUAAGUGGUAGGACACCUGUAAACAGGGAUUGGAAAUUCUCCGUUUGGACACCUUGGUCUGUUGACCUGACUAUGACUUGUGGACAUAGUUUUAUUUAAGUGAAGGAAAUUGAUUUUGUGAACUAGUUUUCUUAAGUUUUGGAUCGUAGUAUGGAGUUGGACUGAAGUGAAUUUGAGGUUGUUGUGUUUUAAGUUUAAGUAGGCGGGACACUUAAAGUUUUGAAAUGGAAUUUGAUCUUGGUCGGUAAUUAAUGGGGAGAUUUAGAGUCAACUCUCUGUAAAUGUUAUUAGAUGAGGGUGUGUUUCUGUGGUGAUGGAUUUUAGGAGAAAUGGUUAAGUGCAAUUUUGGGUAUUGAUUGUAGUGACAUUGUUGGGUAUCCAUAGUGGUUCAAGUGAAUUACUAUGCGAUAUGGAGUUUGAUUCGGUUUCUAAAUCGUAAAUUCAUAGGGUAUGAAUUGUGGUAAGUUUAAUGGAGAAAUUAAUAGAGGAAAUGGUUGAGAUUUUAU
Rosa rugosa (rugosa rose) is the source of this 2717-nucleotide long non-coding RNA. RefSeq lists it as uncharacterized. The transcript is spliced from 3 exons. The record is from RefSeq and is a predicted model, not a curated record. Lineage: Eukaryota; Viridiplantae; Streptophyta; Magnoliopsida; Rosales; Rosaceae.